This 276-nucleotide non-coding RNA is filed under the name bovine gut metagenome. The record is from RNAcentral.
ACUGUUUGCACCGAGCCUUUACCAAAUGAUUUUUCACCUAAAAUGAUGGCACGAUGAUGGUCUUGGAGUGCACCUGCCAAAAUUUCUGACGCAGAAGCCGACCCUUCAUUUAUAAGCACAACAAUUGGUAAUCCUUUAGCAAUAUCGCCUUCAGUUGCCAUAAAUUUAACCGUAUCACUUUCGUUACGAGAACGCGUAGAUACAAUUUCUCCUUUUUCUAAGAAUAAAUCAGAAACGGCAACUGCUUGGUCAAGAAGUCCACCGGGAUUAUUACGA